AUUAAGCCAUGCAAGUCUAAGUACACACGGCCGGUACAGUGAAACUGCGAAUGGCUCAUUAAAUCAGUUAUGGUUCCUUUGAUCGCUCCAACGUUACUUGGAUAACUGUGGCAAUUCUAGAGCUAAUACAUGCCAACGAGCGCUGACCUCCGGGGAUGCGUGCAUUUAUCAGACCCAAAACCCAUGCGGGGUGCCUUCGGAAGCCCCGGCCGCUUUGGUGACUCUAGAUAACCUCGAGCCGAUCGCGCGCCCUUUGUGGCGGUGACGUCUCAUUCGAAUGUCUGCCCUAUCAACUUUCGAUGGUACUUUCUGUGCCUACCAUGGUGACCACGGGUAACGGGGAAUCAGGGUUCGAUUCCGGAGAGGGAGCCUGAGAAACGGCUACCACAUCCAAGGAAGGCAGCAGGCGCGCAAAUUACCCACUCCCGACUCGGGGAGGUA
This 441-nucleotide ribosomal RNA is filed under the name Coregonus albula (vendace). RNAcentral's name for it is "SSU rRNA". It matches the Rfam family "Eukaryotic small subunit ribosomal RNA", at positions 43 to 466 of the family's 1831-position model. The record is from RNAcentral. Lineage: Eukaryota; Metazoa; Chordata; Actinopteri; Salmoniformes; Salmonidae.